RNAcentral lists this ribosomal RNA (414 nucleotides) under uncultured microorganism. RNAcentral's name for it is "bacterial SSU rRNA". It matches the Rfam family "Archaeal small subunit ribosomal RNA", at positions 330 to 745 of the family's 1478-position model. The record is from RNAcentral.
GCGCAGCAGGCGAGAAAACUUCACAAUGUGCGAAAGCACGAUGAGGGAAUCCCAAGUGCUUGCACGUAAGUGUAAGCUGUUUCUCUGUCUAAAACGCAGAGAGAGUAAGGGCUGGGUAAGACGGGUGCCAGCCGCCGCGGUAAUACCUGCAGCCCAAGUGGUGACCGUUAUUAUUGGGCCUAAAACGUCCGUAGCCGGUUUAAUAAAUGCCUGGGUAAAUUGUGUAGCUUAACUAUACGAAUUCCGGGUAGACUGUUAAACUUGAGACCGGGAGAAGUUAGAGGUACUCCUGGGGUAGAGGUGAAAUUCUGUAAUCCUAGGGGGACCACCAGUGGCGAAGGCGUCUAACUAGAACGGGUCUGACGGUGAGGGACGAAGCCCUGGGGCGCAAACGGGAUUAGAUACCCGUGUAGU